Myotis davidii is the source of this 84-nucleotide non-coding RNA. NCBI's taxonomy places the organism in Eukaryota, Metazoa, Chordata, Mammalia, Chiroptera, Vespertilionidae. The record is from Rfam.
CCGGAUCCCGGGCCUGGCCCCUCGGGGGCGCUCUCCGCGGGGCCGUGCGGGCACCGAGAUUCCAAAAACAAACGCUUCCCGGGG